UGGGGAAUAUUGGACAAUGGGGGAAACCCUGAUCCAGCAAUGCCGCGUGAGUGAUGAAGGCCUUCGGGUUGUAAAGCUCUUUUACCUGUGACGAUAAUGACGGUAGCAGGAGAAUAAGCCCCGGCUAACUUCGUGCCAGCAGCCGCGGUAAUACGAAGGGGGCUAGCGUUGUUCGGAAUUACUGGGCGUAAAGGGCGCGUAGGCGGCGUUGUAAGUGAGAUGUGAAAGACCUGGGCUUAACCUAGGAAGUGCAUUUCAGACUGCAAAGCUAGAGUGCGAGAGGGGAAAGUGGAAUGACGAGUGUAGAGGUGAAAUUCGUAGAUAUUCGUUGGAACACCAGUGGCGAAGGCGACUUUCUGGCUCGCAACUGACGCUAAGGCGCGAAAGCGUGGGGAGCAAACAGG
RNAcentral lists this ribosomal RNA (404 nucleotides) under uncultured bacterium. RNAcentral's name for it is "bacterial SSU rRNA". It matches the Rfam family "Bacterial small subunit ribosomal RNA", at positions 355 to 776 of the family's 1533-position model. The record is from RNAcentral.